UGCGGUGACGUAGGGGAGGCGUUCCCUCAGUUCCCAACCGAGUAGCUAGCUAAGAUGCUAACGUCUUUCCUUCCAAACCCAAGUUUUAGAUGAAGCAAAUAUGAGUGCAAAUAUUUUAUAUGCCCCACUAAACACAAAAGUGAACACUGACUUGCAUUUUUUCCUUUGUUGCACGAUUUAUUCUCUUGUAUACGUCGUCAUUUGUUGCUCUACUUUUUGACUAAACCACUUCCCGAAUAGUAUACCAAUGGCAGAGCUUUUAGCCAAUCAGAUUUAAGGCCAACAAUUCUGGGCGGAAGAACGGGCUGUCAAAAUGACUAAGUGCUCAUUUCCGGUCAAUUUCCUGCCUUUGACCGGAAAUGAGCACAACAAGCCAGCUACGUGUUUACCUUAGUUUUUGACCAGAAUUUGGAAUUUGGGGGGGCUUUUUUUUUUUUUUUUUUUUUAAAGCUGAUCGAAGAAAAACACAUUACUUGCCUCACUUUUCUUGGAUAGGAACUCCAAUGUAUUAAAAAGUCAGUGUGCAUUAAUUUGCAUUGCAAAAAAAAAAAACUCGCAUAUCAAAUCAAAACACGUCAUAGAAAGAAAGAUGGCAAAUCGUCACUAGUGCAACUCCGGAGACCAGCGUGUACACUAUUGAGCGUCGCACAAACCUUACCACAGUCUGGUGAUUGACUUGGAUGACUUCAUCUCCCGCGUGGAUCUUCUUACAGCGGUCGGCCGGAGACUGCAAGCCCACAAAGAGAAAACGGGUUCCCCCCAACCGACCUACCAGUGCACAGAGCAGGUCGACGGCCUCCAGUAUGAGCUCCUGGUGUCCGAUGCGGGUCACUCCCAGGUCCUCCAGCUCGGCGUGGCUGAUCCGCAGCAGCCUCUCGCCGCACACGCCGCCGCGCUCAAACACGCACACGUACUGCUGCAGGCAGUCGUCCAAGCCUGCAACACACACACACAUUUUGUGUGCCGAGCCGCUUUGCUGACCGAGCUGCCACCGGACCGCCAAAACGAUGAACGCAUCCCGCCGCUGACCCCGGAACAAACACGCAAGUACGCACGUACUCGCUCAGACGCACACUUGCGCGUGGAC
This is a long non-coding RNA of Syngnathoides biaculeatus (alligator pipefish), 1087 nucleotides long. RefSeq lists it as uncharacterized. The transcript is spliced from 4 exons. The record is from RefSeq and is a predicted model, not a curated record. Lineage: Eukaryota; Metazoa; Chordata; Actinopteri; Syngnathiformes; Syngnathidae.